RNAcentral lists this ribosomal RNA (397 nucleotides) under uncultured bacterium. RNAcentral describes it as "partial 16S ribosomal RNA". It matches the Rfam family "Bacterial small subunit ribosomal RNA", at positions 523 to 918 of the family's 1533-position model. The record is from RNAcentral.
AUACGUAGGUGACAAGCGUUAUCCGGAUUUACUGGGCGUAAAGGGCGUGUAGGCGGUCUUGCAAGUCAGAAGUGAAAUUCCUGAGCUCAACUCGGGCGCUGCUUCUGAAACUGGAGGACUUGAGUGCUGGAGGGGAUAGCGGAAUUCCUAGUGGAGCGGUAAAAUGCGCAGAUAUUAGGAAGAACACCGGUGGCGAAGGCGGAUAUCUGGACAGUAACUGACGCUGAGGCGCGAAAGCGUGUGGAGCAAACAGGAUUAGAUACCCUGGUAGUCCACACUGUAAACGAUGAAUGCUAGGUGUAGGGGGUAUCGACCCCUUCUGUGCCGCAGUCAACACAAUAAGCAUUCCGCCUGGGGAGUACGGCCGCAAGGUGGAAACUCAAAUGAAUUGACGGGG